Molecule: ribosomal RNA, 492 nt
Filed under: uncultured bacterium
Lineage: Bacteria
Description: partial 16S ribosomal RNA
Rfam family: Bacterial small subunit ribosomal RNA
Source: RNAcentral
AGUGAACGCUGGCGGUAGGCCUAACACAUGCAAGUCGAACGGCAGCACAGUAAGAGCUUGCCCUUACGGGUGGCGAGUGGCGGACGGGUGAGGAAUACAUCGGAAUCUACUUUUUCGUGGGGGAUAACGUAGGGAAACUUACGCUAAUACCGCAUACGACCUACGGGUGAAAGCAGGGGAUCUUCGGACCUUGCGCGAUUGAAUGAGCCGAUGUCGGAUUAGCUAGUUGGCGGGGUAAAGGCCCACCAAAGCGACGAUCCGUAGCUGGUCUGAGAGGAUGAUCAGCCACACUGGAACUGAGACACGGUCCAGACUCCUACGGGAGGCAGCAGUGGGGAAUAUUGGACAAUGGGCGCAAGCCUGAUCCAGCCAUACCGCGUGGGUGAAGAAGGCCUUCGGGUUGUAAAGCCCUUUUGUUGGGAAAGAAAAGCAGCAGGUUAAUACCCCGCUGUUCUGACGGUACCCAAAGAAUAAGCACCGGCUAACUUCGUG